CAGCAGCCACGGUAAAACGUAGGUGGCAAGCGCUGUCCGGAAUUAUUGGGCGUAAAGGGCUCGCAGGCGGUUUCUUAAGUCUGAUGCGAAAGCCCCCGGCUCAACCGGGGAGGGUCAUUGGAAACUGGGAAACUUGAGUGCAGAAGAGGAGAGUGGAAUUCCACGUGUAGCGGUGAAAUGCGUAGAGAUGUGGAGGAACACCAGUGGCGAAGGCGACUCUCUGGUCUGUAACUGACGCUGAGGAGCGAAAGCGUGGGGAGCGAACAGGAUUAGAUACCCCUGUAGUCCCUGUCUCUUAUAC
Molecule: ribosomal RNA, 301 nt
Filed under: uncultured bacterium
Lineage: Bacteria
Description: partial 16S ribosomal RNA
Rfam family: Bacterial small subunit ribosomal RNA
Source: RNAcentral